Molecule: transfer RNA, 77 nt
Filed under: Amylibacter sp.
Lineage: Bacteria; Pseudomonadati; Pseudomonadota; Alphaproteobacteria; Rhodobacterales; Paracoccaceae
Also listed under: 9 other names
Description: tRNA-Pro
Rfam family: tRNA
About the family: Transfer RNA (tRNA) molecules are approximately 80 nucleotides in length.
Source: RNAcentral
CGGGCAGUAGCGCAGCCUGGUAGCGCACUUCGUUCGGGACGAAGGGGUCGGAGGUUCAAAUCCUCUCUGCCCGACCA